Physcomitrium patens is the source of this 486-nucleotide non-coding RNA. Lineage: Eukaryota; Viridiplantae; Streptophyta; Bryopsida; Funariales; Funariaceae. The record is from RefSeq and is a predicted model, not a curated record.
UGUUUGGGAGAUGCUCUGCACAUUACAUCGAGGUCUUGUAGGUAUUAAUGUAAUAAGUUUUUGUACUCACGUUGAACUCGUUUGUGCAGGUUGCGGGGUUGAAGUUCGAGCAAGUUCGAGCAUCGGAGUGGUAAGGGCUGCAAUCAUGGUCCUCCUUGCGAGUGGCAGGUUUACAAGGCUUGUCUCCUAAACCUCCAUGGUUGGCGCGGGUUCUUUCUCCAGCACUCUUGGUGGAAGCCAUGGUGUUGGUCGUGUAUAUUACAAAGGUCGACAAGGCGACUACUACGUCAUGGUCAUGGAUAUGCUCGGGCCAAGUCUCCGGGAUGUCUAGAACUCUUCGGGGUCAAGCGCAAGUAUUUAGGGCAGCUCGUUCUGAUUGAGCAGGUAUGCACAUGGAGACGUGAAGCCCGAGAACUUUCUCCUGGGACAACCCAAUACACCUGAAGAGAAGAAGCUUUUUCAUAUACAUCUCAGGCUUGGUGAGUU